Molecule: long non-coding RNA, 1592 nt
Filed under: Hermetia illucens (black soldier fly)
Lineage: Eukaryota; Metazoa; Arthropoda; Insecta; Diptera; Stratiomyidae
Description: uncharacterized LOC119660825
Source: RNAcentral
GUAGUAGUUCUAUCUAACUGUGCCGCCGAAUUUCCAUUCUUCUUUUUCUAUCUUUCUCCUUCCGUGGUAACAUUUGCGCAUUUUCUCUAUUCUCCGUCAUGUGAGGCAACUCAUCUCCCCAGUUGGCUAGCCUGACGGCAGUAUGUGGGCAACUGCAAUUCUAGCUGUUUGGUGUUUGUCUUUCCAGGAGCUGCGGUCCGUAUUAUGUCCGCGAGGCUCGCAAGUUCCAAGCAAGCACACUGAAUGACAUUUCGUUUGCUUCUGAGCGGUUAACUAUCAAAAUCGAAUUUUGAGGAGCUGAUUUGAUCUUCUGGCUUAAUGUUUCAAGUCGCAAGGCGAAGGCGAUAGAAAACGUAACAUGACGAUUUCGGCAAACCUUAGGCCGGACAUUUCGUGAUCGUUGUGAACGCUAAGCGAACCGCAGCUACGUCAACGCUCUCUUACAAAUGAAGCCCAAAUUGCAAUAUGGGAAAAUAUUGGCGCGCGUCCGGUGAAAGAGUUGUCAAAUGAAGUUCAUUACAGGGACUUGUAUGAAAGAAUUUACAACAGGUCCGAUGCGCAAUGCAUGUCGCGGAAAAUUAAAAUUUGGCCAUACGAGACUGAUGGAAGUUUGUACACACUACACGUCAUUCCCAAUUUGGUGGCACUUUUCGUUUUAACCAAUUAAUUAAGUAAUUAAUUUGAAUGAAUUCGUUUUGAGUACUGCGAGAGGCAGUAUUCGAGUUGCAAGUGCUAAUUAUUAAUGCCACUUUCAUUAGUUUCGUCAUAAAUAUUGAAUUCAAGUUGCGGGGUCGAAAUUUUUCUUCUAACAUUAUAUAUUUUUAAUCUUCGCACUCGCUCAUCUAAUAACGCUACAUGCUGCGCUAGGUAGCGUACGCAGGGCGGUUAGUCUUUGCUAGAAGUGGAUCCCAAUAAGCCCACCACACCAGUUUUGCACAUUUUAUUGUUAAUUUGAAGUCCUAAAUAUUUUUUUUUCAUUAAUUUAAAACAAAAAUGCCUCAAAAUCUAAAUGCCCACGCAGUAUUAGUAUUUCUGCAAAGUAGGUGUGAUUUCGAGAGCGAUAAUGUCCUCGCUAAAAGGUUUAUCAUUAGGUUAUGUGACGAUGAACUUAUUACUGAAUAGAGAAGUGGAGAAUAGAAGUUCGCUGGGAGACGGUGUAACAUAAUUAUCCAACAAGCUCUGGGCAAAAGGAAACACCUGAUGUCGGUUUAAGGUAUCUUUAAGGCAAGAAUCGAUGCAAAUGGUUAGUUUUGUUAAAAAAAAUAAUUUAGCAAAACCUAUGAAAUGCAAUUAGUGCAAUAUAUCAAUACUGAUGUAUAGAUUUGCUGACACCGUUUGUUCACGAAAAAUAUCGAAUGCUCAGUAAUCUUUCAGGGAUUUAAAAAAAAAUAGAAAACUCUUUGGUGCACACGAAACAUCCCGAAGUCUUUACAGGAGUGAAAAUGCAAGUGUGGGCGUUGUGGAAAAAUAUGAAAGCAAAUAAGAUCAUUACUAUCGGAAAAAGGACAAAAUGUUGCAAAUAUAUUUGUAAAAAUCAUUUAGUAACCACGGUGAUGUAUUUUAAAUGUCAAAUAUAAGUAGUUGUAACAAUA